Non-coding RNA from Cinara cedri, 300 nucleotides. The record is from the annotation of a GenBank genome assembly. NCBI's taxonomy places the organism in Eukaryota, Metazoa, Arthropoda, Insecta, Hemiptera, Aphididae.
AUAUUACCGGACAGGGCAGGUUUUCGGUCAUAAUCUGAGGGAGACUAGAUUAUAAUCUCGGCGAGUACAUUUUAAACCAAAACAAUUUUAUAUAUUUUUUUCAUUCAGUUUUACUAAGGGUUUUAUAUAUCGAUCCGAGGUACUUAAUGUAAUUUUAUAAAACAAAACGAAAAAAAUGACCAAAGGGAUUAAUAUUUCUAAAUUUCGAUAAACCAUAAAAAAGUUCGCAUAUUUUAAGGUGAACAAAUUUGAGCAUAUGUUUACUAAUCGAACAAGUGUUUCCGAGAAAAAAAAAAUCAC